AAAAGAUAAUUACAAUAAGAUUCCACUAUUUGUAAUAGCA
Molecule: ribosomal RNA, 40 nt
Filed under: Lessonia nigrescens
Lineage: Eukaryota; Phaeophyceae; Laminariales; Lessoniaceae
Description: partial 16S ribosomal RNA
Source: RNAcentral